Molecule: small RNA, 366 nt
Filed under: Histoplasma capsulatum var. duboisii H88
Lineage: Eukaryota; Fungi; Ascomycota; Eurotiomycetes; Onygenales; Ajellomycetaceae
Description: Histoplasma capsulatum H88 hypothetical RNA
Source: RNAcentral
UCUCUGCUCAAAAAUUGGAUUGACUUACAUUUGCCGAAAAAUGUAUCUGUGAGCGCCGGUGAUCUGCUAGUGAGAUCCAGAUAGCUACGAAAGGAAGCCGAUGCUUUAACAUUAAGGGCCUGUUGAGCGCUCUUGAGAUGCGAUUAUCCCCUAGAACGGCAGAAAACUAAUAUGAAGUUCCGAUUGAAGUACGAUAAACCUUCGCAAGCGGCCCAAACAGAACCUAGAAAAGUGGUUAGAUAACUAGGCAUUGAUUGAAGAAAGAUAUUUAAGCAAACAGGGAUAGAUGGGCAGAUUUCCUUCAAACCAAUAGAACAAUCGAUCCUUCGUACGUUGCGGUUUAGAAGCAUGAGAUAGCAAGUAAAG